AUCGUUCAUCUUUCAUAUCAGAAAGACGGAAGUAGGGGAAAUUCCCGAAGGAACGCGCC
Molecule: non-coding RNA, 59 nt
Filed under: Gloeocapsa
Lineage: Bacteria; Bacillati; Cyanobacteriota; Cyanophyceae; Chroococcidiopsidales; Chroococcidiopsidaceae
Also listed under: 1 other name
Description: sp. Glutamine-I sequence
Rfam family: Glutamine riboswitch aptamer (glnA leader)
Source: RNAcentral